UUUUACUUGAUUUAGCAUGACAAUUUGUUUGGUCUGCUUCACUUGGCUCUAGCUUUAGAUUCUCCUUUGCUGCUAAAAUCUUGGUUCAUAAUUCGUGCGUUUGAUUUUGGCUUUUCCUUUUUUUCAAUUUUUACUUUAUAUAAUCUCUGAUUUCGUUGUGCCCUUAACGUGUUUGAUAGAAUGCUUCUGAGACAUCCUUGUGACUUCUUUUUUUGUGUGUGUGUGUGUUCAUCGCAGUAACCCUUUCUUCUUGACAAAGACAUGGGAAAAGCUUCUCGGGAUAAAAGGGAUAUAUACUAUCGGAAAGCCAAAGAAGAAGGGUGGCGUGCAAGAAGUGCCUUUAAGCUUCUUCAGAUUGAUGAGGAGUUCAACAUUUUUCAAGGAGUGAAGAGGGUUGUAGAUUUAUGUGCUGCACCUGGUAGCUGGAGUCAGGUUCUGAGUCGUCAACUGUAUCUUCCUGCAAAGUAUUCAGCUGAGUCAAAAGAAGAAGAUCUUCCUCUUAUUGUGGCCAUAGAUUUGCAGCCUAUGGCUCCAAUCGAAGGUGUAAUCCAAGUUCAAGGGGACAUAACUAAUGCUCGGACUGCCGAAGUGGUCAUUAGACAUUUUGACGGUUGCAAGGCUGACCUGGUUGUGUGUGAUGGUGCUCCAGAUGUUACCGGUUUGCAUGACAUGGAUGAAUUUGUCCAGUCCCAACUCAUACUAGCGGGCUUAACGAUUGUAACCCAUAUUCUUAAAGAAGGUGGAAAAUUUAUUGCAAAGAUAUUCCGUGGAAAAGAUACAAGUCUCUUGUACUGUCAGCUGAAGUUGUUUUUCCCAACUGUGACUUUUGCGAAACCUAAAAGCAGCCGCAAUUCUAGUAUAGAGGCUUUUGCUGUCUGCGAAAAUUACUCCCCACCAGAAGGAUUUAACCCGAGAGAUCUGCAUCGUCUCUUGGAGAAAGUCGGAAGCCCUUCAGGUGGAAGCGAUCUCGAUUGCAGUAGUGGUUGGCUCGAGGGACCCAACAAAGUUUAUAUUCCAUUCUUGGCAUGUGGUGACUUAAGCGGUUAUGACUCGGACCGGUCUUACCCACUCCCAAAAGAGGCAGAUGGAUCGUCAUACCGAAGCCUGGACCCGAUUCAGCCUCCGAUCGCACCGCCUUAUAAACGAGCUAUUGAGCUCAAGAAAGCUUCAGCACAAAGCUUCAACUCUUAAAGCUAGGCUAGAUAACAAUAAUAAUGCAAAACAAAGACAAAGAAAGAAGUUUUUCAUUCGAUUCUUAGAAGGCUGUAGUACAAUUUCUGAAACGCUUUUCAACAUUGACCCAAAGGUUGAUACGUUGCUGGGCUAGAGAAGAUGUGGGUUUUGGUUAGGUUAGAGAUUUUUAUUGGCGGUGUUGAAGUUAAACACAGUUUAAAACGUUGUUGACAAAGACACUUUCAUUUUUUUGAAAAAGGAUACCUUUACGUGCA
RNA transcript from Brassica rapa (field mustard), 1448 nucleotides. It is a transcript of the gene named putative tRNA (cytidine(32)/guanosine(34)-2'-O)-methyltransferase, with no coding region annotated. The record is from RefSeq and is a predicted model, not a curated record. NCBI's taxonomy places the organism in Eukaryota, Viridiplantae, Streptophyta, Magnoliopsida, Brassicales, Brassicaceae.